GAUUUCAUCUGUCAGAAAUGAUCCAACGGCUGAGUGGCCUUGGAGGAGGACUGAGCGGCCUUGUAGGAGGACUGAGCAGCCUUGUUGGAGGACUGAGCGGCCUUGAAGGAGGACUGAGCGGCCUUGGAGGAGGAUUGAGCACCUUGGAGCAGGACUGAGCGGCCUUGAAGGAGGACUGAGCGGCCUUGGAGGUGGACUGGGCAGCCUUGGAGCAGGACUGAGCGGCCUUGAAGGAGGACUGAGCGGCCUUGGAGGUGGACUGGGCGGCCUUGGAGCAGGACUGAGCGGCCUUGAAGGAGGACUGAGCGGCCUUGGAGGUGGACUGGGCGGCCUUGGAGCAGGACUGAGUGGCCUUGGAGGAGGACUGAGCGACCUUGGAGCAGGACUGAGCGGCCUUGAAGGAGGACUGAGCGGCCUCGGAGCAGGACUGAGCGCCUUGGAGCAGGACUGCUCUCUGAGUGUUUUUCUUGUCGUCUCUGCAGAAUGAACCAGGGCCAGGAAACGCUAUUAAAAAUGCCAC
This is a long non-coding RNA of Amphiprion ocellaris (clown anemonefish), 520 nucleotides long. Lineage: Eukaryota; Metazoa; Chordata; Actinopteri; Pomacentridae. The record is from Ensembl.